This 1078-nucleotide ribosomal RNA is filed under the name Phocaeicola vulgatus. RNAcentral describes it as "bacterial SSU rRNA". It matches the Rfam family "Bacterial small subunit ribosomal RNA", at positions 163 to 1245 of the family's 1533-position model. The record is from RNAcentral. Lineage: Bacteria; Pseudomonadati; Bacteroidota; Bacteroidia; Bacteroidales; Bacteroidaceae.
UUAAUACAAGAUGGCAUCAUGAGUCCACAUGUUCACAUGAUUAAAGGUAUUCCGGUAGACGAUGGGGAUGCGUUCCAUUAGAUAGUAGGCGGGGUAACGGCCCACCUAGUCUUCGAUGGAUAGGGGUUCUGAGAGGAAGGUCCCCCACAUUGGAACUGAGACACGGUCCAAACUCCUACGGGAGGCAGCAGUGAGGAAUAUUGGUCAAUGGGCGAGAGCCUGAACCAGCCAAGUAGCGUGAAGGAUGACUGCCCUAUGGGUUGUAAACUUCUUUUAUAAAGGAAUAAAGUCGGGUAUGGAUACCCGUUUGCAUGUACUUUAUGAAUAAGGAUCGGCUAACUCCGUGCCAGCAGCCGCGGUAAUACGGAGGAUCCGAGCGUUAUCCGGAUUUAUUGGGUUUAAAGGGAGCGUAGAUGGAUGUUUAAGUCAGUUGUGAAAGUUUGCGGCUCAACCGUAAAAUUGCAGUUGAUACUGGAUAUCUUGAGUGCAGUUGAGGCAGGCGGAAUUCGUGGUGUAGCGGUGAAAUGCUUAGAUAUCACGAAGAACUCCGAUUGCGAAGGCAGCCUGCUAAGCUGCAACUGACAUUGAGGCUCGAAAGUGUGGGUAUCAAACAGGAUUAGAUACCCUGGUAGUCCACACGGUAAACGAUGAAUACUCGCUGUUUGCGAUAUACGGCAAGCGGCCAAGCGAAAGCGUUAAGUAUUCCACCUGGGGAGUACGCCGGCAACGGUGAAACUCAAAGGAAUUGACGGGGGCCCGCACAAGCGGAGGAACAUGUGGUUUAAUUCGAUGAUACGCGAGGAACCUUACCCGGGCUUAAAUUGCAGAUGAAUUACGGUGAAAGCCGUAAGCCGCAAGGCAUCUGUGAAGGUGCUGCAUGGUUGUCGUCAGCUCGUGCCGUGAGGUGUCGGCUUAAGUGCCAUAACGAGCGCAACCCUUGUUGUCAGUUACUAACAGGAUUUGCUGAGGACUCUGACAAGACUGCCAUCGUAAGAUGUGAGGAAGGUGGGGAUGACGUCAAAUCAGCACGGCCCUUACGUCCGGGGCUACACACGUGUUACAAUGGGGGGUACAGAGG